CAGGGGAAGGGGGGGUGUCCCUCAGCCCAGAUUGUGAGAGGGCUCAGGCCAGGCUGAGGGUCCCCACCAGUGCAUG
Molecule: non-coding RNA, 76 nt
Organism: Myotis davidii
Lineage: Eukaryota; Metazoa; Chordata; Mammalia; Chiroptera; Vespertilionidae
Source: Rfam